AAGGCAGUGAUGAUUCCUUUUCUCACAUGCAUUCUUUGGAAGGCAGAGCAAAAUGAGUGAACUCAGUAUUGUUGUUCUCAAAAGCCUA
RNAcentral lists this small nucleolar RNA (88 nucleotides) under Sorex araneus (European shrew). RNAcentral's name for it is "Small nucleolar RNA SNORD116 (ENSSARG00000019386.1)". It matches the Rfam family "Small nucleolar RNA SNORD116". From Rfam's summary of the family: HBII-85 is a member of the C/D class of snoRNAs, which contain the C (UGAUGA) and D (CUGA) box motifs. HBII-85 is encoded in a tandemly repeated array with another C/D snoRNA, HBII-52, in the Prader-Willi syndrome (PWS) region of chromosome 15. Unlike most other snoRNAs, HBII-85 is expressed prevalently in the brain (but is absent in PWS patients) and lacks any significant complementarity with ribosomal RNA. The record is from RNAcentral. Lineage: Eukaryota; Metazoa; Chordata; Mammalia; Eulipotyphla; Soricidae.